RNAcentral lists this ribosomal RNA (542 nucleotides) under Corynebacterium striatum. RNAcentral describes it as "partial 23S ribosomal RNA". It matches the Rfam family "Bacterial large subunit ribosomal RNA", at positions 1626 to 2140 of the family's 2925-position model. The record is from RNAcentral. Lineage: Bacteria; Bacillati; Actinomycetota; Actinomycetes; Mycobacteriales; Corynebacteriaceae.
GAUGUAUAUACUCGGCCCGUACCCCAAACCGACACAGGUAGUCAGGUUGAAAAUACUAAGGCGUUCGGGUGAACUGUGGUUAAGGAACUCGGCAAAAUGCCCCCGUAACUUCGGGAGAAGGGGGACCCUAUGGCGUGAACACCCAUUUGCGGUGGGAAGCGUUGUGGGGUCGCAGAGAAUAGAGGGAAGCGACUGUUUAUCAAAAACACAGGUCCAUGCGAAGACGUUAAGUUGAUGUAUAUGGACUGACGCCUGCCCGGUGCUGGAAGGUUAAGAGGACCGGUUAAUCAAGCUUUGCUUGGUGAAGCUGAGAAUUUAAGCCCCAGUAAACGGCGGUGGUAACUAUAACCAUCCUAAGGUAGCGAAAUUCCUUGUCGGGUAAGUUCCGACCUGCACGAAUGGCGUAACGACUUCCCUGCUGUCUCAACCACAGGCCCGGUGAAAUUGCACUACGAGUAAAGAUGCUCGUUACGCGCGGCAGGACGAAAAGACCCCGGGACCUUCACUAUAGCUUGGUAUUGGUGUUCGGUUCGGUUUGUGUA